AGAGUUUGAUCCUGGCUCAGAACGAACGCUGGCGGCGUGGAUAAGACAUGCAAGUCGAACGAGACUUUUCGUUGUAGCAAUACGAUGGAAAGUUUAGUGGCGAACGGGUGCUUAACACGUGGGCAACCUGCCAUGAAGUGGGGGAUAGCUCGCCGAAAGGCGAAUUAAUACCGCAUGUGAUUAGAGAGGACAUCCUUUCAAAAUUAAAGUCGGGGCAACCUGACGCUUCUUGUGGGGCCCGCGGCCUAUCAGCUAGUUGGUGAGGUAACGGCUCACCAAGGCUUUGACGGGUAGCUGGUCUGAGAGGACGACCAGCCACACUGGGACUGAGACACGGCCCAGACACCUACGGGUGGCAGCAGUCGAGAAUUUUUGACAAUGGGGGAAACCCUGAUCGAGCGACGCCGCGUGGAGGAUGAAGGUCUUCGGAUUGUAAACUCCUGUCAUUUGGGAACAAGGUGCACACGUUAACUGCGUGCGUAUUGAUAGACCAGAAGAG
Molecule: ribosomal RNA, 499 nt
Filed under: uncultured soil bacterium
Lineage: Bacteria
Description: bacterial SSU rRNA
Rfam family: Bacterial small subunit ribosomal RNA
Source: RNAcentral